RNAcentral lists this ribosomal RNA (492 nucleotides) under uncultured bacterium. RNAcentral's name for it is "partial 16S ribosomal RNA". It matches the Rfam family "Bacterial small subunit ribosomal RNA", at positions 29 to 507 of the family's 1533-position model. The record is from RNAcentral.
AAUGAACGCUGGCGGCAGGCCUAACACAUGCAAGUCGAACGGCAGCACCGUAAGUGCUUGCUCUUACGGGUGGCGAGUGGCGGACGGGUCAGGAAUACACCGGAAUCUACUCUUUCGUGGGGGAUAACGUAGGGAAAUAUACGCUGAUACCACAUUCGACCUACGGGUGAAAGCAGGGGAUCUUUGGACCUUUUGCGAGUGAAUGAGCCGAUGUCGGAUUAGCUAGAUGGCGGGGCAAAGGCCUACCAAGGCGACGAUCCGUAACGGGUCUGAGAGGAGGAUCAGCCACACGGGAAGUGAGACACGGCCCAGACUCCUGAGGGAGGCAGCAGUGGGGAAUAUUGGGCAAUGGGGGCGAGCAUGAUCCAGCCAGACCGCGUGGGUGAUGAAGGCGCUCGGGGUGGAAAGCCCUUUUGUUGGGAGAGAAAAGCAGCAGGUUAAGACGCCGCGAUACUGACGGUACCCGAAGAAUAAGCACCGGCUAACUACGUG